This 468-nucleotide ribosomal RNA is filed under the name uncultured bacterium. Its description in RNAcentral is "partial 16S ribosomal RNA". It matches the Rfam family "Bacterial small subunit ribosomal RNA", at positions 28 to 507 of the family's 1533-position model. The record is from RNAcentral.
GGCGAACGCUGGCGGCGUGCUUAACACAUGCAAGUCGAACGGAAAGGUCCUGCUUUUGUGGGGUGCUCGAGUGGCGAACGGGUGAGUAACACGUGAGUAACCUGCCCUUGACUUUGGGAUAACUUCAGGAAACUGGGGCUAAUACCGGAUAGGAGCUCCUGCUGCAUGGUGGGGGUUGGAAAGUUUCGGCGGUUGGGGAUGGACUCGCGGCUUAUCAGCUUGUUGGUGGGGUAGUGGCUUACCAAGGCUUUGACGGGUAGCCGGCCUGAGAGGGUGACCGGCCACAUUGGGACUGAGAUACGGCCCAGACUCCUACGGGAGGCAGCAGUGGGGAAUAUUGCACAAUGGGCGGAAGCCUGAUGCAGCAACGCCGCGUGCGGGAUGACGGCCUUCGGGUUGUAAACCGCUUUCGCCUGUGACGAAGCGUGAGUGACGGUAAUGGGUAAAGAAGCACCGGCUAACUACGUG